Molecule: ribosomal RNA, 165 nt
Filed under: uncultured bacterium
Lineage: Bacteria
Description: partial 16S ribosomal RNA
Rfam family: Bacterial small subunit ribosomal RNA
Source: RNAcentral
AAUCGCGGAUCAGCACGCCGCGGUGAAUACGUUCCCGGGCCUUGUACACACCGCCCGUCACACCAUGGAAGUCUGCAAUGCCCGAAGCCGGUGGCCUAACCACUUAUGUGGAAGGAGCCGUCUAAGGCAGGGCAGAUGACUGGGGUGAAGUCGUAACAAGGUAUC